Chiloscyllium plagiosum (whitespotted bambooshark) is the source of this 555-nucleotide non-coding RNA. NCBI's taxonomy places the organism in Eukaryota, Metazoa, Chordata, Chondrichthyes, Orectolobiformes, Hemiscylliidae. The record is from RefSeq and is a predicted model, not a curated record.
CACAGUCAGUGUAAUGACACAUCUACGUCUUUUCAAAGUAAUGAUCCUGAGGUACUGCUGAAGGUCAGAUAUGAUCUUGCAGCCUUAUUGUUAAUGGAAUCGCAUACCCUCAAGCUCUAUAAAUAGAUUUUGCAGUCAGAUCCCCAGGCACUGUAUUUAAAUCCAUUCUCCAUAGAAAGUUUCCCAAGACUGAUGGAAAACUGUGUCAUAAGGAAGGAAAUAAUCAUGAGGAUGGCAAAAUGGGAAACAGAAUAAACAAAGACAAAAGGAGAACGUAUUGGUUUGAAAAGCGUGUAAGAAAAUCAGAAGAAUAAAAGCAAACUGAGGAAACAAGUAAAGCAACAAAAGAAAGACGGAUGGAAAAAAACAAAGGGAGGAAGUAACAAUGUUUUAUACUUUACAUCCACAAGAUGUUCCAUGCUUCACUGCCAAUGAGGAUUCUUAAAUGCAACAGUCAAUAUGUGCACAGCAUAAUCUCACAAAAAACAAUUAAAAACACGAGGAGAUGGUGCUCUCACUGAUGUUCAUUGAGGAAUAAAUACAUGCCUGAAGUUC